GUGCCGGGGCCCCGCCGCCUGACGGGCGGGCCGAGUGCCGCGGCCACGCCGCCGCAGAGCGCCUGUUUUAAGCGGUGUUUAAAGGAAAAUGAAAUGCAAUAAAGGCUCUUCUCCACGCGCGCCGUGGGUUGGGGGAUGCACCGAAAAGCGGAGCGGCCAGCUGGCCGGUAAUGAUUCGCUUCGUCGUGACUGGGAGAGGAAGGGGGCCUUGGGAGGAAGGAAGCGGGCACUGGUUGAGCUGAGGCUGGGAAAGGAUCAGAUCUGUCUUGGGGAGGUCUGAGACUCUGCUUAUCCUGCGUAGCCUCUCAGACGAUGUAGAAGGAGGUAUUUCAGCGGAGCUGUUGCUCCUGGCUCAGGAAGCUGUAUCACAAAGCAAUCUUCUCUGUCUUCGGGCUCAGGGAGAAUCCAGUGUUACGGGAUCGGGACGAAAUCAUACGCGAGAGAAACGCAAGGGGUUAUGUUUGUUUGGUUUUGAGGAAAAGUCUCGAGGAGCCCAGGGAAUGUCAGAGAGAGCAGGUGAGCAAGUCUUGCCCGGCAAGGCGCCGUGUGGGGUUGACACAGAUGGUUCAAUCCACGCUAACAGCGCCUGGGAGUUGCAGUUGGCGAUUUGAACUUUCCUGUCCCGUCAGUGCCAUUUUCCAAAGCUCUUAGGCCUUUAAAUCCCUUGAAAAGAUAAAUGGGCUUAAGCUUCUAUGGAGCCCUGAAAGUGCAGCUUACACUCAAUUAACACUGUCGCCGGGGUUGUUCCUGGUGGUCGGGUCACUCCCCUUUGUCUCUGCCCUUCACUGACACCACUUCACUGCAGCUUCCAACUCAGUUCCUUCUCCUCGCACUUGGGGAGAGCUGAGCUCACAUCCGUCCUGCGGGAAUAUGUGAGAAGCAAAAAAAGUCUGCUCAGGAGGUACUUAUACCUGAAUGACAUCUCAGGGAAAGUACUGCAGGGAGGGGAGACGCAUUAUUUGUGUGAUGCUUCGCAGUGAGGAGGGCUGUAAAAGCUCAUCGUGCUCAAAUUCUCUUCAGUCUGAGAGUCUGAGAUUUGAACGGCAGCCGGGAGAUUUCUGGUGGGACAACCUCUAUCUCGCAGCGAUUAUCAGGUCCCAGCGGUCAUCCCGGCUCUGCUUUGAACUGUUCUCCUCGCUAGCUGAGGUCAGCCUGGACUUUCAAGGCCAGGAAUAUUGGACUGAUAUUCUCUUAAAACAUCUACUAUGCGGAGGAGAGUGCACAGGGAAGGAUCAAAAGGGCACAAAUAUUCCUCCCUGACGGUGAGAGCAGAUGCUCUGUGAUGCAGCCGGUGUCCUGUCCCUACCAGGUUUGCACCCCAUGGUUGACUGAGCGAGUGUUGGUUAUGGGAGGCGGGGGUGGCUGCAUCCUAUAAACCAAACCCUGAUGGACACUGCUUCCCAAUCCCCUCACUGACGUGCCUGCAGGCAAUGUUUUUAUUCUCACUUUCUGCAUGUGUAAAAGAGGGUGGGUCCUCUGCUUCCUGGGCCUCCGAGGACUGGCUGGCUCCUAAAGGCAAUCCCGUCCCUGCUUUUAUCAGGAAAAGAGCGCAGCCGAAAUGCGGGAUUUUGUAACCAGUAAACCUCACGUGCCGAAACCUCCUGCCAGAGGCACAGCCCUGAGCUUCUCCAAUGUCAUCCCGUAAGGCUCGAUGCAAAAUUUUUAAGCAACACAAAAAAAAAUCUUACGUUUGAGCAUUUAAUAAAAGGUCGAUAGAGCUGCGAUGCCAUCGGUGCCUUCGUUUCUGACUCCGUGGUAAGGCACGGAGCGCAGCAGGAGCCGGGAGCACGCUGUCAGGAGGCAGCAGCGUAGCUUUGGAAGUGUUUUUCUGUCUCUCAGCAAUUUUCUUCCAGAGCCCACAACAUCUGUCUCUGUCCCCAGCCGCAUGCAAGUGCCCCGAAAGUUUGUUCCAGGCCUAAUGAGUAAUUUCAUGGUCUUGGAGUCGGAGGCGAGGGGAGGGGGCUGGGACGGCAGCUGGAGUCGUGUGCUUUGCAGGGAGCUCCGCAGAUGUCAAAUCGCCGACGGAUGGCUUUUAUUUUAUCGCGGCCCACCAGGCUUCCCUUUAAAGUCUGCUGCUGGAGUUUCUGGCGAUCAGUGCAGAAACAGCUCCGACACGGGCUGCUGCGUUCCAGGGGCUUCCUCGCUUCUGGGCACGAGCAGCGUAGAAAAUAAUGUCAUCAGCGGGGAGGAGGUGGGGGAGCUCAGCUGGGCGUCAGCUCCGCUCCGCUCACGGAGAGAGCACGCUCGAGUGCAGGGCACUUUGCCUGCCCUGCUCCUGUUUUCAGCGCGAUGGGCUGGCAGAAGGAGGGAUGAGAGAACAAACAACCCCGGGCAGAUGUGAAACCAUAUUGCUCGAGCGGCUGGAGGGUGCGCGCGGUGUGUGAGCACAUACAGAACGAGCUGGCGCCAAUUGUAGCUGGUCUCAGCGGGCCUUUAAAGAGCACAAAGCCCAGCUUUCUCCCUGAGAAGGGACAGAGUUAUCUGCAGAGAGCGAUAAUCUGCGCACAGCACAGGAAGCAGAAGGCAGAUGUUGUCAUAUGUUUAUCGCGUGUUUCCACCCCAGGGUCUUCCGCUGGGACAGGCCUGCAGAUCUCGGGCCCUGGAGCAGGAUUCGCGCAGCUCCACGGACUCCCCGCGCUGUUUAUCCAGCGCAUAAGGACACGCGCGGCUCUUCCUCCACCUGCCCAGGUUCUCCUCGCCUGGAGAGGAAGUUUACAUUCGCUCCCUGUGACUCAGAAAUAGAGCCUGAUUCAUUUUCGUGGUAUUACUCGCAGAAAGGGAAAGCCAAAUGGCAACCAGUCUGUGCCUGUAGACACCUGUACCGCUCCGCUUUCUGCUGUUUAUCUCUGGAUGAGUUUCUGUUUAUCGGCACUAGCGCACUUCCCCUGUCGAAGCUUCUCUUUGCAGAGAAGGACUGAUCGGAAAGCGAAGUUUUCUACCCCUACAGCUGAGAGGAAGAGUGCUGGUUCUCCGUGGCCGCUUGCAGAGUUCCUGAUACGGGGCUAGUUCAAGCUGACACUUCACGGGGUAGCAGUGGGCUGUCACCAGAAGGAGCAAGCACCAGACGGAUCCAGCAACGGCUGCAGAGGUCCUGCAGCUCCUGAGCUGACCGCUGUGCCUGCGGGGAGCUGCAGCUGGUCUGCCUCUUACAGUGCUCAGCACUAGCAGGUCCCACUUCCAGUGACAGCGGCUGUUGAGGAGCAGCUAUUUGGGAAAUUCUCUCGCCAGCAACCUGGGCUUCUGCCCCAUGCCUCGGCUCCCUGCUGUGAUACAAGGACAGCAGCUGCUUGGGGUCCUUGUAGGCUGCUAGUCCUCAGAGGAAGGGGUGGUGUUUUACUUUCUGCUCCCUGCUCCGUUUGUGGCAUGAUGGGUGGCUUACUUGGUGCUAGAGAGACUGCGUGAGCAUUAGUCAGAUUUUAAAAUCUCGGAUUUUUAAACUCUCACCCAAGAUGUGCACAGAGAGGCUUUGGUUGUGAGGUGGGAACCUGUGACCGGCACUACAGCUGGGCCCAAACCCGUCUUUCCCGUAUCAUUCCUUCCAAAACCCAGAGUGCAGCCCUUCCUGCGCUGCACAAGAGAACACAGAGCAGAACUCCAGGUGGGUGGGCUGUGAGGAGGGCAAGGAAGGCUCUCAGGCCUGGAGCAGCAGUCGUGUUAGAGGUAAGGCGGUUUCCUCUGGGCUGCGGGAAGCUGAGGUUCGAGUCACCGCUCUGAGCAAGGCAGAAGAAGGUUUUGGCCCCAAACCUGGCUCUCCCUUAGCAGCAGCCUGCUGCUGGGGGAAAGGCCACGCUAGGGUUCUGCUCUCUCAUCGUGUGCCUUGACCUCCCGGAAGAGCUUUGUUCAGAAGUGUUCCACGGGCUCUCAGAUUAGAAGCUGGCGUUUCGGUUAUUUUCUGGUGGAAAAAAAUAUUUAAUUGGAAAAAUUCCUGUGUGGCUCUGGUAUGCUUUCAGCUGGCAGCCUGCCUGCCCCUCUGAAAAUAUUUCGGAUUUUGAGCGCGAACACUUUGUGUGAGGCUGGUUUCUUUGCUUGCAACCCUAGCUGAGGUAUCCCUUUUCCCUGAGCGGACGGCAGGAGCUGGCUUCUUGUUACGCGGCAGUGGAGUGACCUUCUGGGGCUGCCCUUCACGGGAGAGGACGGCUGAGACAGGCCAGAGAUCCUGUAGCAUUUGGAGCGGUAGCCACUGCCCUGCUGCUCCUAGCAGUCUGCUGUAAUAAUUGCCACCGCCCCCAGCUCUGGCAGACGUGUUUGCAAAAAGCUCUGCGGGCAGUGGAAGCAGGCUGGUUUCAUCAUGACAAUGUAGUUACCCUUUUAAGGGAAAAUUCCCUCCGGGAGCCAGCCCUCAAUUACCUCCUGCUCGAGCGCCUUCUUGCUGGAGAUGUCUUGUAACCCGGCUGAGUUACAGCCACAGCGCUCUGCAGUCGAGCACCUCGCCGCUCCGGAAAAAAGAUAUAAUUAAACUCUGCUGGCUUCUGUUGUUUGCUAGUGAUUGCUGAAUUUGGAAACUGCAGACAAAACCCGAAGGGCUGGAUCCCCUCAUCGGUGCAGAAAGGAUCUGUGGACGUUGCAUCUCCAGACCUGGAUGCUGUUCCUGCAGCAUUAAUGGGGCAGAAGCGGUAUUCGUCCCUAAACAAGUUUGUUGCAAGAUUGGGAGCCCUGGGUAGUACGAGUUUAGCAGACACACGAGUGUCUACCAAACGCCAGGAAACUGGGGUAGGCAGAGGCUGCAUUUCAAUUCGCUGUUAUUCACCCUGCUGAAUGGGAGGGGUCCUCCGGGGGUCCUGAUUUGGAGGCCUAAAAAAUUCCUUCCAUUCCGCUGCCGUGCCCCGCAGCCCAUGGGGCGGUGGCUGCCCGCGGCGGGGCGGCCGCGGAGGUUGCCCUCUGCCUCUGACCGCAAAGGGCUGAGCGGGAACGCGCGGCGCUCUGGAGAACAGCCCGUGCGCUCCCUGUUCUACAGGGAUUGUGGCUUUGGCUGCGAGCCCCCCCCCAUUUACAUCCCUCGUGUUCAGCACUGAAAGUGGUUUAAUUCCAAACGAGCUGUUUACCAGAAGAACACGACGCUCUUGAACGCAAACGUGUCAGAGGGAUGAGACCAGGCUCCUAAAGAAGUUCUGGGGACUGCUUCUUUUGACGUCUGUCAAUUUACUGUGUUUGUCCUAGAAAAUGGCACUUUCUCUCCGGGCAAUAGCAGACCCGUUAAAAACAUCAGCCCCGUACCUGUGCAGCUGCUGCUGCCUUGAGCCAAAACAAAUGGACCGCAGCCCACGGCGUGACUGCACCAUCUGAGAAUGAAACGCAGGUCCUUGGAGGGAAGAGUCACAGAGGAGACAGGAUUGAUCCCAGUGCCCUAUUUGGAGGACCGAAAUGCACAGGAAUCCUGUUCUGCCUGUCUAGAUCCAGACUGAGAGAGCUUCGCCAUCUUCUGAGCUUUACCAAGGGUUUAAAUUCUCUUCCCCCAUUAAGAUCAAGGCAGAAAAGAAAACUUUUGGAAAACUUACGUAAGUAGACAGGAAGUAAUUACAUGAGCUCCAUCAAAACAUGCAAUAUCUGUUUCAGCCUUUUAAAAACUCUUCGAGAAAAUUAUCUAAAAAUUAGCUGAGGUGCUGAAAUCGUGUUUUCAUGCUGCAGAGCAAAAUUGUCCACUUUCGAAUCGUCAACUUUUCAAAGCCUUUUUGUACAUUUUUUAAACUGGGACACUCUUCUGAAUACCCAAUCCUCUGUUAACAGUUUUGGGUUGCUGCUUUAACCUGAAAAGGUUUUGCCAGAAAAUUUCUUGCCUGCGAUUCCCUGAUUGCACAGUUGGAGGUAGGUGGUUUUGAACCCGCAUGGCCAGAAAGGCAGAAGCGUGGCGAAGCUGAGAGCACUGUCAUUCAAAUACACGACUAUUGUUUGCGCUGACAGCCCUGCAGAAGUUCAUUAGCUCUUGGCAGUUGCAAACAAGCGGAAUUCAUUUGCCUGGCUCAGGAAAUUCAACCCGUGCUGUUGAAAAUUCAGCAUUUUCAGGAGAAAGCUGAUGGAAGGCCUGGUGGCUUGGACGGGAAGGCUGAUCACACGCGUGGGACCGGCGCUGGAGGACGCAGGUUUGGAUCAGGACCUGCUGCGGUCUCCCUUGUGACAUCUGGCCACGUUCUUUCUUUGAGCUCCAUUUCCCCUUCACCGUUGUUCCUUGCAAAUACACGCAGUCCGUUAGGCACUGGGCAGCGCUGUGCUGUCAUGGUGAUGUGGUCUAAACAAACGCAGAGCAUUUUGCCAGCAUUUCAAAACUGAAAUUCUUGUUGCGAAUGAAAUAGCAGAGGAACUCGGAGUUUUGUUUGCUCGGUUCUUCACCCCGAGACUCUGAGUCAUGCUGACUUGCGUGUCCGCUGGACUUCUGGAGAUCUUCUAGUAUUUUGUCAACUGCAGUGACAGAUACCUCAGUGUGCAGUGACAAUUCACAUAUAAAGCCGAUUAGCAUUAAGAAGCAUUUCUUUCUCUGCAAGUGGAUGUGAUACGCCGCAGACAACCAUCUCUCCCGUAAUAGCUUCUUACAAAUGGGGUUUGUAAUAUUCCACUGAGGUUUUCUUUUUUAUCGAUAGCUGUGAGCACCGGUGCUUUAUAAUAAAUAUGCACUAAGGAAGGAUUGCUUCAGUGCCCUCAGGCACAGUUUUACCAACUCUGAACUGGGCAGCCCAGUAGGUCAGGGAGAGGGGACCAGCGCUGAGCAGCAGCAGGUGCGAGGGUCAGCCCCCCUUGCUCUCCGAGGGGACAUUUGUCGGGCUGAUUUGUCGCUGAUACUGCAAAGAGGCGAGGAGUGGAUGGAAAACACAUCGCUUAAAGUUCCUCACACUGCCCCAGACGGCAGGGUUGCUGCUGAGAAAGAAAUCGUUAAUGCUUUGUAACAUCACAUCGGCUGUUUUCGCAGGAAUAUUGUGGGUUGCAGAGCCAUGAGGUAAGGCACUAGAAGAACACAGUGACUAAGUUUCCUGGAACAAAUUAAGCACUGGCUUUCCGAAGUAUGUGGACUUGCAUAGCAUAACAAAACAGGGAUCUCUCUUCUCUAAACACAGUGGAUAUGUUCUGUGCUGGCAGAUUGUCUAACUCUUAAACUGGAAGGGGAAAUCUUGGAGAGCUUUGCUGUUGAUGAUUCAUGUUUAAGAUAAAACACAUUUUUUAAUAGCAAGAAUAAUAAGUCACCGCUGUAGAGUAGCCAAUGCUGUAGUAAAUCCUUUGGCACCCUGGGACUGGAAGAGCUCUUUCUGCUCUUUCUCAGUUGCAAAUUAUUGAGCUCUGCAGGAUCACUGGAUGAAACCUAGGACCCUCAUUCUCUAUUUCACAUUAUGAAAUAACACAGUCUCUUCUAAUUAGUAAACUAUGACCGUGCAUUGAAUUAAACGCAGUCACGCAAAUGUUUCACAUGCCAAUACUAUGUAUGUUUUCAUUUUCGUGGGCUUUUUAAUCAUGUUUCACGGGCUUUACUUAGUGCUAGACACUGCCCUUCCUUACCAACAUCAAGUUAAGGCCAAAAUGUGAUGUGUUGUCUGCUUUCUCAGAAGAGGAGAAAUUGCCUUUUUCUGUAGUAUAUCUGUAGAAAUCAAGCUAGUCUUCUGGAAAUUCCCUUGGGGAACUGCCCCCUUCCCGGCAGUGGCUUUCAGAGUUUACCAAGCACAUUUACCCAGAUGAAGCUGAGCUUGUGCAACAGGAUGGCAUGCACACUUGCAUUCUUUUCCCUGCUUCCUUGUAGCUUCUGAACCCACUGGUCAGUUUCCACCCAGUUUCACAGGAGGGAAGCACCAGUUCCUGUCUUCCUGUAGCUCACUGGCAUCCGUGCAGGGGAGCGAACCUCUGCUGCUGCUCACCACCGCAGGGAUGACCGCCGGGUCCUCCUAAGGAGCGUAACCUCCAGGUGAAGACCCCAGACCCCACCACGCCGUGCUGGGCAGGGGACGUGCAGGCUUCGCUGCCAACUGCCGUGCCCCUCCGGGCAGCUCAGGGACGGCGUCAGGUCGCUCCAGCAAGGGCUGAGCAGCGCCGCAUUAGAGGACAUCUCAUCUCCCACCCGCUGUAAGGCUGCUUGGUGCUGAGAAUCACGACACUGGGGGGGAGACAAGUCCUUACUGGCUUGGUGCUGCAGCUGCUUCUGUGCCCCAGUGGCUUCCUCCAGGACAGUGAAACAUCAGUGCGUUCGCUGAGGGGCUGAUCCAAAACCCACUGAAGCCACCAGACCAUCUUCCACUGACUUCGGCUGCGAGAAGAGAGCGGUAGGAAACCUGCAUGCUGCGGGCUCUGCCCGCUUCCCUGUUCCUGCAGCUCUGCAGAACAGAAGCGAUACAGGAAUCCAGGGCCCUGACUUCAGCUGCACUGACACUGCUUCAGCUGCGUGUGGACGGGAUGCAGCACGAGGGCGGCGGCAGAAGAUGGCACAGGCAUCGCAUCACCGCCCGAGCCCCACAGGAAGCCCGUGGCAGAGCUGAGCUGAGAUGUGAGCUCCUGCGAGCAAGGGCCGCUAACCUCCCGUCCAGCAAGCACUGAACAAUCCCAUUUAAAAAUGUUUCUUCCUAAGAGCGAAAAAACGCAGAUCGAGAUCCGGAAAUAAAAGCCACCGGAGCAUGCUGCACCACAGGCUCUCCUUUGACAUUGGGCAAGUCACUUCUCAUCUCAGAAACUUAGUUCCCCAAUUGUGAGAUAGAGACAGCAAUGCUGCCCUGACUCACGUUACUGGAAGAUAAAUGCAGUAAUAAACACGAACUGCCACAAUUCUGUGGUAACGGGACCCCUCCUGAGUACAGAAAAUUGCCAUUUCCUUCAGUUUCCCUGUAGUAAGUCUGCACAAUCACAUGCUAUCCUAUUGUGCUAUCAGGUAAUUUUGUAGCAAUUUCCUCUCCUAAGAUAUUUGACUUCACUGUAAGUCUGUUUAAUAGCCUAUAGAUAUUAACAUGAUCCCUUAUUUACAAUAAUGGGGCCUUGUAGCUACUGUAGCUUACAGAUGCAAUUUAUUACAGGAUGUUACCACAGUCCGCAGGCUACCAGAAAACAUUAUGUCUGGUUGUUACAAAUGCCAUUUUCCUUGUUGAGAUAAUAAAAUAACCCUUUAAAUGAUCGGGAUUUUUCCUUCUUCUGAAUGUCUGUGAAAAUUAAUCUUACUUUAAAAGCUUCCUUUUCCCUUGUGGUAAUAAGAACCUCCAUAUAUCUUGUUUUUAAAGUCGUGCCCUCGAAAAAAACACGUCAUGUUUAUGGACUCAAAUCUAUUUGUUCCUGUAGCUUCAGCUGGAGUCAACAGGUGUCUGGGGGACUUGGAUGCAAUCUGCAGAGAGACGACAGUUCGCGGGACCAAGCUGUAUCGCCCUGUGUGAGAGCUGCAGGUCUCGAAACCCCCACCACUUUGCCUGUCUUCCAAGCUGCUCAUCACCUGACACUGACUUCUCAUUUUGGUAUUCUUGCACUCUUCAUGACAUUUCAAAACUAAGAACAAACGCCUCCAGAAAGCCUCGGGAUUUGGAAAGAGCAGGAGGGUUCAGCGUACAGGAGGAGAUCACACGGAACAAAGCCUGGGACCUGGCAUCUUCCAGAGGAAACUUCUGCAAGGAAGAGGGAAGCUCAGCCAGCUCCGCCCUGACAGCCAAACCUUUGGGACAGGGUUGGGGAGUGGACAGCACGGACCUUGGCCACUCCUGAGGAUGCUGCUGGGAUGGCGGAGGAGCUGGAGUCCACGAGAGGAAGGCGAGGAAGAUGUCGGUCGUGUGAGAAGGUGGAGGCCGGUCCAAAAAUGCCCUCUGAUGACAGCACGGGGGCGGGAUCCCACCCGGCGUCUUAUUCAUCGACAAGAAGCGGCGUGGUGCUGCUGGGACAAGCGGGACGGAGCCGCACGUGGCACCGAGGAGCUUGUGCUGCCCCUCUCAGUAAGCCCACCUGAAAGGCGGCGGGUGCAGGCUGCAGGGUGUUGCUGCUGGUGUCCUGGUGACGGCUACGUCCCUGAACGGCACAGACCCCGCUGGUGAACCGCAGCCACCGCUUCUGUUGUGAAUUUAUAUGAAAUAGGGGAUGUGGCAUCCCAGCCCUUGGUUUUGGGGGGCUUCGCCUCAGACUCACCGAAACCAAUUAAGGCUGUGGAGAAAGCACAUUUUGGGUAGAGAAUCCGAAGGACCCUCUGAGCAGAGCUGGAAACACCAAACACGGUGAUGCCGAGCAGCCCAGGAACCACAGCCCCCAGCCCCACGGCACAGGACAGGAGGCAAAAUCCAGGCGAUGAAGGUGAGCGUCUCGCUGCUGUCUCCUGUGGGGAAGCCCGUGUUUACCGCCAGUUGCCGAUGCAAAUUUCUACGGGGCUAAUCCAGACACGCUCAGGGCUCUGCUUUGCCUUACACCGCUGUAAUUGAGCAAUUUCAAAGCCCGUCGAGGGUUUCUUUUCCCACUUGGGACUGCUUUUUGUUGCUGCUGAAUUUUGUUUCCUACGGGAUUUGCCCUCCCUAUGCUCUCAGUGUGUCCUUGCAAGCGGCGCCUGGCUGAAAACAGACAUUUCCGCCCAAUUUGCCAGCCUCGUUGGGAAAGAAAAUGAACGUUUUGAAGGUGUCGUUUUGCCGCGGUGAGAGGAAAACUUUGAGAUCAGCCCUAAACUGUCUCCAAGGAUUAGGACCCCAGUGCAGCUUGAAACCUGGCUGCAGCUUGAACCAGGUGACACCGGGACAAGCCCACGGGGCCGGCCAGAUGGGGCAGUGGUCAGUGGCCAGUGAUCGAUGGCUGAUGGGCCAUGGUCGAUAGUCAGUGGUCCACAGUUGAUGGUCCAUGGUUGAUAAUCAGUGGUCCAUGGUCAAUGAUCAAUGGCCAAUGGUUGACAGCCGAUGGUUGAUGGUCGAUGAUCAACGGUUGAUGGUCAAUGGUUGAUGGCCGAUGGUUGAUGGUCAAUGUCUGACGUUUGGUGAUGGACGGGUGAAGGUGGACGGGUGAAGGUGGAUGGGUGAAGGUGGACGGGUGAAGGUGGA
Molecule: long non-coding RNA, 10952 nt
Organism: Cygnus olor (mute swan)
Lineage: Eukaryota; Metazoa; Chordata; Aves; Anseriformes; Anatidae
Exons: 15
Source: RefSeq, a predicted model, not a curated record